This 1897-nucleotide long non-coding RNA is filed under the name Marmota monax (woodchuck). Lineage: Eukaryota; Metazoa; Chordata; Mammalia; Rodentia; Sciuridae. The record is from RNAcentral.
UGAACAUGUGGCUGCCUGAGUGACAGUUGCUUAGGUAUCAGAGUUCCCUGCAAGUCACGGAAAACAGCUUUGGCUAAUUUAAGCAGAGGAGAAAUUUAUUAAAAGGACUUUGGGCACUUAUAUCGUCUUCAGGUGGACCCAAGGACAAAGCUUAGAGGGUACCCAAGCCAGUAACAUGGCCAAAGUCACCCCAUGGACCUGGGCUGGUGAAGAUGCCAGGCUUCCCCGUCACUUGUCCUCGGAAGGGAUCCCAGAUGGUCCUUCUUCUUCUCGGCAGUGCUGAUUUUCAAUUCAGAAUUGAGGGUGGGUAUGUUGGGGAGUGACUCCCAGGUCACAUGCCUGCACCCACCCUGCAAGGGAUGCUGGGAAAGUGAGUUUCCAGUGUUUUCAGCUUCUGCGCUGGAAGGCGGGACUCUCCAGUAGAAGAAGGGGCUUCAGAUGCUGGGAGGCCCAAAGCAUUCAAAAGUCCUUCCCACAUAGGGGCCAUCACUAAGAUGGCCCUGGAGUGUGACUGUGAGUCCAGUGCUGUACACACCUGGCAGGGAUUACUGAUCUGAAGGACCCUUCAUGAGACAUGGGAAAGACACCUGUCCUUAAGAGGCCUGACCCAGCUACGAGUUCCUGAUACCUGGGACCGUCACUGACCGCACAGAUUCAUCAAUCUAGACACUUCUAGCCCAGCACAGUCUCCUUUGAAUGAAAGUUCUGCCGUUAAGGACUCAAAUCCAGUCCGUUCAGGAGUUCUGCCCCUUCUUCCUGGGAAGCUGCACAACUUCCAUGGAGCUUGCAUCCCUCCCUGUGUGAUCUUUGUGGCCUUUGGUCAUCCACGCCUGUCCUCCUUGUACCUGCCCAGAAGCCACUAUGACCUUUGGCCUCUGUUUGCCAGGGUUAUGCAAUCAACUCUGCAGCUGCCUAACCAGAACUGUGCACCCCUUCGGUCCACCAGUCUGCUCCUGGCCAUACCUGCAUCCACUUUGAAGGAGUAGAAAUUUCUGGGUUCUCGCCAGGUGCUGUGGUGCAUCCUGUCAUCCCAGCGACUCAGGUGGCAGAGGCAAGAGGAUUCCAAGUUCAAAUCCAGCCUCAGCAACUUAGCAAGCCCCUAAACAACUUCGAGAGACCCUGUCUCAAAAGAAAAAAGAAAAAGGACUGAGAUGGGGCUCAGUGGUUGAGCACUCCUGGGUUUAAUCCCCAGUACAAAAAAAAAAAAAGAAAUUCUGGGUUCUCCUCCUUGUGACACUCAUGUGGAAGGAGUCGGGGGUGUCGGGGGGGCAGGUGGCUAGCUCACCUUCCAUCUACUGAGGCCUCUCCGUCCCCAGGCCACACACCUGCUAAGGGAGGUGCACGUUGACCCCCGCAUCCUUCAAGUGUACCCAGGGGCUUCUCUCAUGCCACCUAGACCCCCUUUGGCCCACAUCUGUGUGAGGGUUGUGACACUGUCCCUUCUCUCCCACCUGCAGGUCAAGCCUCUCUCUGCUUUUGGGUGGGAUCUUUGCUUCUGUGGUGACGCAGGCUUCCCUUCACCAGGGCUUAGGGCAUCAGCUGUCUGCUCUUCAAGUUCAAAGCAAGGCUUCUGGACUGACAAAAAAGAUUUCUCUUUCAAAACCCGGCUCUUGUAGGGCUAUAGUCUCAGCUCUGGGUUUCAAAGCCUCUUUUGCAACUCAGAGCCAAGGGUUUGACUCUUUGUUCUGGUUUUCCCGUGGAGAGCAGGAAUCAGAGGGAGCCAACUUAGCAUCUGAAUGGAGAAGAAUGGAUAUAAGGAAAUUGUCUAGAAGAACAAUGGUUAAUACCCUCAAAUGAUCUCAAAUGAUCAGAACCUUAUCUCCCUGUUGUUUCAUGUUAAUCCCUCAGGGGCAGGGGCGCCCAUGGAAGACCUGGCACUAGGGUGAAGGGAGCAGGG